RNAcentral lists this long non-coding RNA (301 nucleotides) under Physcomitrium patens. RNAcentral describes it as "long non-coding RNA (PPAT_LNC010740)". The record is from RNAcentral. Lineage: Eukaryota; Viridiplantae; Streptophyta; Bryopsida; Funariales; Funariaceae.
AGAGAGGGGAGCUUCAUGCUUUGGGUCGGUGAAGGAAAGACAUAGAAUUUGGGUUUUUCUUCUUCGUAGAGUUUUGGGAAGACUGAGGCAAUCGUUGCUGAAGUCAGUAUUGUAAUGGUGAAUCGAGAUUUUUAAUGAAGUGGGUUUGAAUACUCUUGACUGUUUUGUGAAAUCGAGUCACGUCUGUGAUUGAAAGAUUAAAAGGAUGUCUAUAGGAUUGAGUAUGCGGAAUGAAUGAAAUUUAUUGGAUUAAUCUAACAAGACAGUCAGUGGAUACAAGAUCGUAAGUACAAAGCAGUAU